RNAcentral lists this microRNA precursor (59 nucleotides) under Triops cancriformis. RNAcentral describes it as "microRNA tcf-mir-10344 precursor". Lineage: Eukaryota; Metazoa; Arthropoda; Branchiopoda; Notostraca; Triopsidae. The record is from miRBase by way of RNAcentral.
UGCCGUACCUCGUUUGUGUGAUGUGAUAAAACAAAUGUAUACAAACGAGGUACGGCUAA